RNAcentral lists this transfer RNA (82 nucleotides) under Danionella translucida. It matches the Rfam family "tRNA". From Rfam's summary of the family: Transfer RNA (tRNA) molecules are approximately 80 nucleotides in length. Their secondary structure includes four short double-helical elements and three loops (D, anti-codon, and T loops). Further hydrogen bonds mediate the characteristic L-shaped molecular structure. tRNAs have two regions of fundamental functional importance: the anti-codon, which is responsible for specific mRNA codon recognition, and the 3' end, to which the tRNAs corresponding amino acid is attached (by aminoacyl-tRNA synthetases). tRNAs cope with the degeneracy of the genetic code in two manners: having more than one tRNA (with a specific anti-codon) for a particular amino acid; and 'wobble' base-pairing, i.e. permitting non-standard base-pairing at the 3rd anti-codon position. Lineage: Eukaryota; Metazoa; Chordata; Actinopteri; Cypriniformes; Danionidae. The record is from Rfam by way of RNAcentral. RNAcentral also lists the same sequence under 1 other name.
GUUGUCAUGGCCGAGUGGUUAAGGCAUUGGACUAGAAAUCAAUUGCUGUUUCCCUGUGCAGGUUCAAAUCCUGCUGAUAACG